UGUCGUUUGUCGUAGAAUUAUUUAGUUUUGGACCUACACGUUUGUUAAUCAGUAACACACACAGCAAUUUCGGUUUUAUUUUGUGCUAAAUUCAUUAUUGGCUUUUCAGUUUCCGGUAGCAAUCUGGCAACGACUCACUGUGGCCCUGUUGGCAAGAACGCGGACUCACUAAUUAUUGGACAUGUCAAACUCGUUUCACAUGAACUUGACGGGCAUGCAAAAGAAGCUGGCCCUGAGGUCAUUGCAUCUCCCCUUGAAGGACUCAACGCAGCUCUACUCGAUGCUCAAGAGCCCCAAUGGCAAACUAUGCAAUCUAUCGGCACAAUCUAUAGAGGCCGACAACAAGCAUAAAAAGCUAACGGCCAACACGUAUCGGGACUUCAGAUCGCUGCCAAACAAGAACAGGCCGCUGGAUCACAGCCAGCCCAAGACCAAUACUCAGGUUUUGAAGUCAUGCCUGAAGCAGCCAAAUGGACCGAAGCGUCGCAAGGUCGUUCGCUUCAGCUGUGACGUUUAAUGCUGCAAUGCAACAAAACACAACAAAACAACAACAACAACAACAUUAACAACAACAAAACAACAAAAACCAAAAAAAAAAAAUUGAAUAGUGAGCGAAUGUCUGGAACUGCCUGUUGACGCAUGACCAGAUCAGCUAAUUUGAAACUUGAUUUUUAUGCAAAAUUUUAUAUCCUAAAACACUGUCGGAUGGUCGACCUGACGCUUGCGCUUUCCGGUGAUCAUCAAGAGAUCCUCUGGCCGCAACACCAUAUAUAUGUGUGUAUGUAUAUAUGUAUAAGGCUCUUCAUCUCGUUCGCCUUAAACUGAUUGCCCUCUGAUGUCAGCCCCUUUUCAAUUUAAUAUGCCAU
RNAcentral lists this unclassified non-coding RNA (866 nucleotides) under Drosophila mojavensis. RNAcentral describes it as "GI15019". The record is from RNAcentral. Lineage: Eukaryota; Metazoa; Arthropoda; Insecta; Diptera; Drosophilidae.